This 120-nucleotide ribosomal RNA is filed under the name uncultured bacterium. RNAcentral's name for it is "partial 16S ribosomal RNA". It matches the Rfam family "Bacterial small subunit ribosomal RNA", at positions 28 to 146 of the family's 1533-position model. The record is from RNAcentral.
GACGAACGCUGGCGGCGCGCUUAACACAUGCAAGUCGAACGGUGAACCGGGCUUCGGCCCGGGAAUCAGUGGCGAACGGGUGCGUAACACGUGGGCAACCUGCCCCAGACACUGGGAUAA